This 78-nucleotide microRNA precursor is filed under the name Schistosoma curassoni. RNAcentral's name for it is "mir-3492 microRNA precursor family". It matches the Rfam family "mir-3492 microRNA precursor family". Lineage: Eukaryota; Metazoa; Platyhelminthes; Trematoda; Strigeidida; Schistosomatidae. The record is from Rfam by way of RNAcentral.
ACCUUUUUGGAUCCGUUCUGAGAUGUUGUCAGGUACCAACCCACUAAGGCUGAUGAAACUUCAAAGAUAUGUGAAGUU